This is a long non-coding RNA of Galeopterus variegatus (Sunda flying lemur), 463 nucleotides long. RefSeq lists it as uncharacterized. The record is from RefSeq and is a predicted model, not a curated record. NCBI's taxonomy places the organism in Eukaryota, Metazoa, Chordata, Mammalia, Dermoptera, Cynocephalidae. The transcript has 3 exons.
AGUGUACUUUGAGGAUGUUGCUGUGGACUUCACAUGGGAGGAGUGGCAGGACCUUGAUGAUGGUCAGAGGAAUUUGUACUGGAAUGUGAUGCUGGAGACCUACAGCAUCCUGGUGUCAUUGGGGUACUGCAUUACCAAACCUGAAGUGAUCUUCAAGUUGGAGCAAGAAGCAGAACAAUGGACAAUAGACUCCCCAAACCAGAGCCUACAAGGAAAGAAAAUUGGUUUCCUGCUGAACCUGAAAGUACCUGAUCCAAUAAAGUAUUACCAUACUCAAAUCAGAAUAAGAUGGGAAAAAAGCACUAUGUGAUUCCCACUGUUGUUAUAAGAAUAAAAUAGAGAAAUAAAAUAGGUUAAACAAAUGUCAGAUGAUAAGCACUUGGUUGAAAAUUAUGACCAAGCAUAGGUGAAAGUUUUACCGAAUAUUUUCUUAUGAAUGAAAAAUAAAGAAAGAAAACUGUAC